RNAcentral lists this transfer RNA (64 nucleotides) under Friesea gretae. Its description in RNAcentral is "tRNA-Leu". RNAcentral also lists the same sequence under 1 other name. The record is from RNAcentral. Lineage: Eukaryota; Metazoa; Arthropoda; Collembola; Poduromorpha; Neanuridae.
UUUAUUAUGGCAGAAUAGUGCAAUGAGUUUAAGCCUCAUAUAUGAAACCUUAUUUCUUUUAAAA